This 1782-nucleotide long non-coding RNA is filed under the name Ananas comosus (pineapple). RNAcentral's name for it is "long non-coding RNA (ACOM_LNC014821)". The record is from RNAcentral. Lineage: Eukaryota; Viridiplantae; Streptophyta; Magnoliopsida; Poales; Bromeliaceae.
AUCACCUCUUUGCAACAAUACUUUGAGCCUAAAUAUUAAAUUAGCCCAAACAAUCACCUCUUUGCAACAAUACUAUAUUAUUCCACAGCAAUAAAAAGAAAUAUGCAUAACUUUGAUCAAAGAAAACGUAAACAUCACUAAAAAAAUAAAUUUUUUUUCUCUAGAAAAAAAAUCACCAAAAUUUUUUUUUUCUGUCAAUAGUUUCAGAAAAUUACAGCAAACAAAACAAAAGAGAAAAAAAAGUUUCUUUCACUUAAACCUGAGAAAGAAUCAUGUUUUGAGCAAGCGAGCGGGCGGCCGAGCGAGCUGGGGCGCGAGCAAGCCGGGGCAUGAGCGAGACGGGAGAGGGAUUCGGUGGGUUUUGCGGAGGAGAAGAAAGAAAAAGGAAAAAGAAACGAAAUGGCGAGGGGGCGAGCGGGCGAGGUGGUAGGUGGGCGGGGUGUGGAGAAGGCUCUGAUAGGAGGAGAUCUGUGGAGAAGAAAGGAAAAUGAGAUGAGAUCUGUGGAGAAGAAAGGAAAAGAAAAAAAAAGAAGAGAGAGAGAGUGAGUGAGUGGGAGAGUGAGAGAGAGAGAGAGACAACGGAGCGUUAACAGAGCUUUUUGGAAACUUUUCACUUAAAGGGUUGCAUGGAUCUCGAUGCAAUCCGAGGGCUAUAAAAUGGGUGGCAAAGUUGGCUGGGUGCUAUCAAUAGCAUCCUAGCAUCCCAGUCCAACUCUAUAUAUAUAUAUAUAUAUAUAUAUAUAAAGUUGAGCUAGAAUACUAUCGGUAGCAAACGGGCUCCGUUACCACCUAUUUGUUUUUGAUGAUAGAGCCUCCAAAUUGACGAUCGGCACCGUUGAAAAUGAUCUAUACCACUUGAAAUAUCUAGAAAUCAAAUUUCAUACUUUCUUGAUAUUGUUCUCUUGUCCAUCAAGUGGGCGUAAAAAUGAAUGGCUGAAAAUGAAUAUCCUCUAAAAAGUGAUGAUAGGAAUUUUGUAGUCAAGAUUGAGAGGAUAGAUCUUGUUCUAAAUAGUUUAAAGAAUUUUCUAACCAAAAUUCAAUUCAUUUGGCUAGCAUUACACCGUUAAACGAGAAAACACCUCAAAUCUACCAUUAAAAUUACAAAUUUUGAAACCCGUUGAUCAUUAGGUCAAUGAUGUCGAAAAUGUUUGAAAUUUGGUUUCUAGAUACUUCAAGUGGUAUAGAUCAUGUUCAACGGCGCCGAUCGUCGAUUUGGAGGCUCCAUCAUCGAAAACAAAUGGGUGGCAACGGAACCCGUUUGCUACCGAUAGCAUUCCAGCUCCUCUCUCUCUCUCUCUAUAUAUAUAGGCUAGGGCUACUAUACUCUUAUGAGUAUAGAGCCCUUCAUGCUUAUAAGUUGCUUUCAAUGAUGAAGCUUCCAAAUCGAUGAUCCACUCCGUUAAAUAUGAUCUAGAGUAUUUGAAAUUUAUAGAAAAUAAAUUUCGUAAUUUUUCAAAAUCAUAAUAAAGUUCAUCAAGCGGGUAUAAAAUGAACGGUCAAAAUCGAACGACGUCUUAAAAAUGGAUGUUCGGAUCCUUCAAUUUAAGAUCGGAGUUAUUGAUCUUUAUCUAUAUAGUGAAUAGAAUUUUCUAUCAAAAAUUCAACCGAUUUCGAUUCUUUAACACCGUUAAACUAGCAAAUAUCACAUACCGGCCGUUAAAAAUUGCCAAUUUUGUGACCUUUUGAUCGUAAGGUAAAUGAUGUCGAAAAAUUAUAAAAUUUGAUUUCUAAACGUUUUAAAUGCUCUAGAUAACGUUUAAUGGUGUGGAUCGUCGAUUCGGA